AUUUAUUUCGAAGUUGAUUGUUACUAUUUCUGUCCACUUUCUUUGGUUCUUUUAUCUUCUUGUUUGGGCUUUCCCUGCAAGGUAUAUGGGAACUUGCCAAUUUGUGCUGCUUCGAGUCCUUACUGAGCACACCGGCUGCUCUGUGUAAAUUAUAUAGUGUAAAUAGCUGCAGAGGUCCCCCAACCUUUGAUGCAUGUUGCACUUUUGUCCCUAACCUUCAAAAAGGAGAAUGUGUGUCCUCAACCAUUCAUUUAGUAGAACUUUGAUCCCUACCGGACAAUUUUGCGCUUAUUCUCGUUUAACAAACAAAUUUUUUUUUAAAUGACAAUUUUGUCCUAGAAAAUAAAAAUAAGAAUAGAAAAAAAAAACUUUAGAUCUUCUCCCAACCCACCAGUUCGCUGCAGCCAACCACUUCCAUUUUCACCACAAUAAAAUCCCGAAGCUCUGAAAAGUCAUUUUGUACCAUCUUAAAUUGAUCACUUUAUCCAUUAAAUUAUACUUCAAUACAUAGUUCAUAGGACUUCUCUGCUUUAAUAACCGUAUAUACGUUUGGCAAGUAUUUAUAACAUGUCUAUAAAUGCUUGCUAAAAGUCAAACCACUUUUAUUCACAUAUUUUGUGAGACCUACAAGUAUUAGCCACUUAUCCACAACUCAUUUGUAUUUGUUUAUAAACAUGACUAUUUAUAAACACUUGCCAAACAUAUACUAAGUUCCCAAUUUUGUUAUGGAAUGCCUUUUCCACUAGAAAUUGAAGAAAAUAAGGGCUUAGGAAAAAUAGAAGACUGAUAGGGUUAGUUUUGUGGCAAUCUUUGCAUUGUUGGGCAGUGUAAUGAUAAUGAGAGAAUAAAAGCUUCUCUAUAACAUCCCUAUUUUCUGUUUGAUUUCUGUUUUUGAAAGGUUUGGCGUUUUGAGAUGAUUUGGUAGGAAGGCAGGUGGUUGUUUGCAUUAGGUUAGGUGGGUGGGCGAGUCAAUUGGAGAAGAAGAUGAAUUUCUUUUUCUUUUUCUUUUUAUUUUCUUGAUUUUUAUUUAAAAGGCAAGGGUAAUUCAUCUUUAUUAUGAUAUUUCAGCUUGUUAACUGAAAAUAAGGGUAAAAUUGUCCAUUAGAGAUUAUAGUUCUACUAAAAUGAGAGGUUGGUGUUGCAAAUGCUCCAUUUUGAAGGUUGGGGACUUCUGGUACUAUUAACCCAAUAUAUAUAAAACACGAAUAAAGGAAGAAAAUGGAACAAUGAAUAGAAGAGAGUGUAAUGGUGAAAUUAAGUUUUAGUUCCCACUUUUUUUAAGUCUCUUUUAUUAUUAUUUUUAUUCCUUGCACUUUUAAACUUUCAAUGAUUUUGUCAAGUGGAUGAUGUAGUUAUGUAAAUGUUUGCCUAGGCUAUUGCCCAAGGCCAUCUAGGCAUUUUGAAACGCAUAAUGAAAGAAAAGAAAUAAAUAGCUAUUAUUAAAAUGUAUAUCUCGACUUAUAUAGAAUUGGGCAGAAAAUACCACCACUUAUUGAGGAAUAAAAUAUUUCUUUGGUAUUGAGUAAUCCGUUAUUACUACUUUUCUAAAAAGAUAGAAAAUUGUAAUAUCUUACUAAUUUGUUAUCUUUAUAUUCCAACAAUUAUAAGGUAACAUUUUACAAUGAGAUACCAAUUCCCUCCUAAGAAUCUCUGAUUCCAAAUUCUAAACAUUAGCUUAGGAACCUUCUUACUCUCCUGAAAUAUACUUUUCUUGGUUCUGUUUUAUGUACUACCUAUGUGGGAAAGAAAAGCUAUAUUAUUAUUUUGUGUAAUAUUUCUGUAGCUUGCUCUUUUUUUUCUUUCUUUCUUUUUUUUAACUGAUUCAGGUUGAUCAUUUGAAAGUAAAUGUAGAGUUCAAAUAAAUAAAAAUAUUUGCUCUUCAUUUUAGAUUUAAAUUUCAAAAUCUUCUGGUCCUCUUUUGAGAAUUCUCCCAUGCGUGAAAUUUGGGUAUUUUUCUCAUGUUGAAAUGCAUUUUGCAUAAAAUAGGGUCGUUCAUGUCUUUGCUGCUAAGAUAUAUCAAUAUAUAAUUGAGAUUGGAACUGGGUUCAGUAUUUUACCCCUUGUGGAAGUUUGCAUAUAAAAAGCAUGGGUAAACGGCAUAUUAAUGUUGUAUUACUGAACCAAUCUCAUUGUAGCUUAUAUGUUCACGAGAUAGUUCUUCCACGAUCACAAUGCUUGAUUAUUGUUUCUUCAGGUGGCAGAGAGGGCUUUAUUUUUAUGGAACAAUGAUCAUAUCGAGAACCUGAUCAAACAAAAUCGUAAAGUUAUCUUGCCGAUUAUCUUCUCUUCCUUGGAGAAGAAUGCAAGAAACCACUGGAAUCAGGCAGUGCAGAGCUUGACACUAAAUGUUCAAAAAAUCUUCUCUGACACUGAUCCCGAGCUCUUCGAGGAAUGUUUACUUAAGUACCAAGAAGAUGAAGCACAAGAAGAAGAAAUCAAAACAAAGCGUGAAGCCACUUGGAAGCAGUUAGAAGACACUGCUGCUAUGAAAGUGUCAAGUAACGAACCAGUGCUCGUGCUUCACAAGUUAAGCACAAACACAUUGUCUGGCUAGAAACGCUGGGACCUUUGUUUGGCAUGUUACUCUCUGGGCUUGCGAAUUUUGGUGCUGACCAAGAAUACAAAGCAUGGGAUUGGGGGUGGAAUUGUCUCAAUUGCUUGUAUUAUUGUGCUCCCUGUUUUGGCCCAUCAACCGAACAGGGUGAAGGUCACUGCUUCCAAACAUUUUCGGUUUUAGAGACUAUGGCUGUACAUAUAUAAAUGGGUGACAGAGAACUGGAAAGUCGAAGGUUUGCAUUGACUGUUACAUUGAGGGAAUUUGGUCCCGAUAUUGGCCUUUUUGUUGUUAGAACAGAGCAUGAUGAUGUUAAAAUUAGUAUAUUUUUUGUGUUUUGUUUCAAUAUUUUUGAACUGGGUUUCGUUUAUGUACUCUAAUCUGCAAUUAUAUAUGAUUAUAUUUAUCAUUGCGAUUUGUCAGAA
This is a long non-coding RNA of Olea europaea var. sylvestris, 2979 nucleotides long. RefSeq lists it as uncharacterized. The transcript is spliced from 2 exons. NCBI's taxonomy places the organism in Eukaryota, Viridiplantae, Streptophyta, Magnoliopsida, Lamiales, Oleaceae. The record is from RefSeq and is a predicted model, not a curated record.